GCCAGUGUAGCUCAGUGGUAGAGCACUCGAUUCGUAAUCGAGCGGUCAGGGGUUCAAAUCCCCUCACUGGCU
RNAcentral lists this transfer RNA (72 nucleotides) under Rubidibacter lacunae KORDI 51-2. It matches the Rfam family "tRNA". Rfam says of the family: Transfer RNA (tRNA) molecules are approximately 80 nucleotides in length. Their secondary structure includes four short double-helical elements and three loops (D, anti-codon, and T loops). Lineage: Bacteria; Bacillati; Cyanobacteriota; Cyanophyceae; Chroococcales; Aphanothecaceae. The record is from Rfam by way of RNAcentral.